UUCUUGUUUUUUUUACGGACCUGCUAAAGAGGCUGGUAUCGAAACCAUAAACCGCAUGGCCCCUUCGAUUUUUUUCGAGAUUGGCGGCUGCAAGAAGGAGACAGGGAAGCCGAGAAGUUGAGACGGAGGACAUUUACGCAGACGAGGAGGAGCAACAUAGACGUGAGCAUAAGACUGGUCAAGACUAACUGGAUGGAAGUUUGUCAUCAUGUUUUUAACAGUCCGCCUGGGACAGUUUAGCAUAAUGUUAUGCAGAAGACGUCCCAUUAUAUCUUCGUAAUUUGUAAUUUUGAGGCACGGUUUGAUGAAUUUAUGGGAGUUCCUCGCCUCAACAAAAAGGCUGAGCUAGUUUUCAAAAGAGUCACUUCUUCGCAUUGAUUUUGAACGAGAAAGGAAGUAACCACAAAUAUGCAUAAAUUAAGUCACGCUUGUUGACCAUGGAAUGUUAGCAAAGUUUAUCGAGCUCCUGCAGCUCGGAAAGACUAGUCCCCAAAAAUGUUUUUAAAACAAUAACCCUGGUGCUAAACACGGAUAGUGAUCAGGACUCCACAUCCCGUUAUCCUUUUGUGAAAAGUUUCCUGGAACAACAGCAUGCUUGUUCAAAUUUGAAAUGAGCUGUCUGUAAGAAACAUUGAGACGUCCCACGCGAGACGUCCCACGCGAGACGUCCCACGCGAGACGUCCCACGCGAGACGUCCCACGCGAGACGUCCCACGCGAGAACGAUUAACGUAACGAGAUAUAUUGUUUUGUUUGUACAGUGCAGAAGUGAUUUUGUUGAUUGACGGACACGUGAGCCAAGUAACAUAAUCACAUGUACAUAAUAGACUUUGAUGAGUACCUUUUCGAAGCGAAGACGAGUGGUUAUGCGAAGUUACGAAGUUUAGGUUUUACGAUACGAAUUAGAUGUUGUAGUAAGUACGAAUCAAUAAAAGGAAUCAAGAAAUUA
Pocillopora damicornis (cauliflower coral) is the source of this 948-nucleotide long non-coding RNA. The record is from RefSeq and is a predicted model, not a curated record. Lineage: Eukaryota; Metazoa; Cnidaria; Anthozoa; Scleractinia; Pocilloporidae.